Molecule: ribosomal RNA, 253 nt
Filed under: uncultured bacterium
Lineage: Bacteria
Description: partial 16S ribosomal RNA
Rfam family: Bacterial small subunit ribosomal RNA
Source: RNAcentral
UACGUAGGGGGCAAGCGUUAUCCGGAUUUACUGGGCGUAAAGCGCGUGUAGGCGGUUGCGCAAGUUGGUUGUGAAAUCUCCCGGCUCAACCGGGAAACUGCAGCCAAAACUGCGCGGCUAGAGUGGCAGAGAGGAAAGUGGAAUUCCCGGUGUAGUAGUGAAAUGCGUAGAUAUCGGGAGGAACACCAGCGGCGAAGGCGACUUUCUGGCCUGUUCUUGACGCUGAGGCGCGAAAGCUAGGGGAGCAAACGGG